This is a long non-coding RNA of Betta splendens (Siamese fighting fish), 2261 nucleotides long. The record is from Ensembl. Lineage: Eukaryota; Metazoa; Chordata; Actinopteri; Anabantiformes; Osphronemidae.
CGGGUUUUUGCCGCUGUUGUUUGUGAGCUGUGAGGAAAGUGGGGCUCUUACUGUACCUACAGAGGCCAGCUUUUGUCUGAGAGAGGUUUUUGUUGGACCCGCUCCACAUCACCUCAUGUUUGAGAUUACGGCCCAAGCCACCCAGACAGCAGAGCGGGAUCCAGGAGGAAUUUUUUAAUAAAUUUGUUGAGCAUUAUACAGAACAAAUGCUUUUUUUAGUCGUGGCUGCCUGUUUGCUGGACAUAAAGGGAAGAACGCUUAUAAUAAUGACUGACUGAUGUUUUCUUAUGACAAAUCCCCUCUUUUGUAAUGAUUAGUUUUUUCUAAUCACCUUCUCAACAAGCCUGUUAAGUCUAAGUUUUUGUCCAGUAUUUGGCUUCGAGAGAGACCACACCACUGCUUCUUGAUUCCAGGGGCUCGUGCAACUUGUUCUUGCAUGUUCUUAUCCAGGAUUCAAUCAGAGCCGACCCUCACUCCGCGCUCCAGCUCGCUAAUCCCCCGUCGAGCGCCUCACUGUGUCGGCUGCUGUUUGUAGUCAAGUCUCCUACGACCCCGGCUGAAGGUCGCGUCGUGUUCCUUUCAGCUCCUCCGCCUGAUUCACCUGAGCAGGUGAGUCUGUGGAUGUGGACGUCCAACGGGGCGCUUUGUGCAGACGUUUUCUGUCUUGAGUGGAACUUGCAGCUUGUUUGCCAGUUUUAUUUCUGCCUUUUUUUUCUGGAGUGGAUCAAAACGUGAGUCAGGUCUUGGUGCAUGUGUGUGGCCGGCUGCAUACCGACAGGCUUUAGGCAGAUACUCUUAAAUCUUCCCUCUAACAUCAACCUUCUGUCAAAACAAGUCUGAAUGUGUGAGUCGCAUGAAUCACAUUGACUUAGUCAAACGGCUGCGUGAGUCUGGGGGAAUCUGAUGGCCCACACGAUCAGAUGCUUAUUUAAAUCAUGAGUGAACAGACUAGAAUAUUUUUACUAAUAAAGGGAAUGUUGCAGCAGGAUCCUCAUCUGAACGGUUCAAACCUGGAUAUUAACACCGUGUCACACCACAGAAAAGCUUCUAAGUGGGUCUGUCCUGUCGCUUCGCACCAAUCAAACCACCAGACUGCAAUACAAAACUCCCACAGACUCACGGAGCCUCAAAUGGCUCAUAGCUUGGGUGACCUGCCUCUCUCUCCAGGGACGUCCCUGCUACUGCAUCCGUUGCCGCUGAGGGGAACCGGGCUUCUCAUGAUUCGAUGGGCCUUUCCUUCAACCCAGUUUGCGGAGCUGGAGGCUCAAGCGGACGAUUCCCCUGAAGCUGUUGAACCUGCUGCACCUGAACCCAUCAGGGCGUCUGCUCAGACCAGCUGAUCAGACCCGAUCCUGGCUCUGACCUGCACAUCAGCCCAGUCCAGCAUCUCAGCAGAGGUCACGCGUGUGCAGGGCUCCACCAGCACCAGCCUCUUCACUGCCUCCUGGCAUCAUCAAGGUCAGCCUCGACUACACGCCUGAGGACAUUAAAGAUGUUAUGGACUGAGUGAAGAGGUUGCUCCUUGAAGCCGUUUCCUUAAUGGCACCACGUGGCAUUAAAGGAAGCGCGUGACCGAGGCCGAGCGCUGGAUGUGGUUAAUUGAAUGAGGACAAGUCGCUGACAGCAACGAGACGCAUCACGGGAUGGUACCGGGCUUUUAUGGCAGACGUCUGUCACUGCUGAAUGAGAGGGUCCACAGCUCCGGACCCACCCGGCGCCGCGGCGCUUGCACAGGGCUCUUAUGUGAUUUAGAGCCAGCGUGUCUGCGUGAGCAGCUCCAGCCCAGGAGAGGAAACGCAUGUGGAGCAGCAGUUUCCCGUCGGACUGAACCGUCCCGACCGGCUGCUCCGUUCUCACUGAAGACCUCGACGCCCCGGCGUAGCUUCAGAUUUGUCAGCUUGGGUACAAAAACGCUGAUUCACAAAAGCUCCUUGAAAGUCGCCAUCGUCGGCCUGGGUUUUCCAGCCAGUGUGGGCUGCGUGUAACCCGACAUGUCUACGUCUAAUUGCUGAGAUUGAAGAACAGUGGACGGUUUGAUUUUCCCCAUGUGAAAGUAGUGUUUCCAUGUCGGAAUCCACACCCACGACACCAGCCCUCAGCGCAAACAUUUAUUUCGCGUCUCGGCGUUGUUUACAAACUGCCGGUGACAGCCCCUCUCAUUACGCCGUUCCCUACAGAGCCUCUCAUGCAGGACAUUUUUGGAUUUGCCAAAAUGACUUCAUAAUUAUCAUCAUUUCAUAAUAAAGCCGAUCAGCGUCUCA